CUACGGGGUGCUGCAGUGGGGAAUUUUGCGCAAUGGGCGAAAGCCUGACGCAGCAACGCCGCGUGAGGGAUGAAGGUUCUCGGAUCGUAAACCUCUUUCAGACGGGAAGAACACAAUGACGGUACCGUCAGAAGAAGCCCCGGCUAACUCCGUGCCAGCAGCCGCGGUAAUACGGAGGGGGCAAGCGUUGUUCGGAAUCAUUGGGCGUAAAGCGUAUGUAGGCGGCCAGAUAAGUCAGACGUGUAAGCCCACGGCUCAACCGUGGAAUUGCGUUUGAAACUGUCUGGCUUGAGUACGGGAGAGGAAAGCGGAAUUCCCAGUGUAGCGGUGAAAUGCAUUGAUAUUGGGAAGAACAUCGGUGGCGAAGGCGGCUUUCUGGCCCGAUACUGACGCUGAGAUACGAAAGCCAGGGGAGCAAACGGGAUUAGAUACCCCGUAGUC
RNAcentral lists this ribosomal RNA (441 nucleotides) under uncultured bacterium. RNAcentral's name for it is "partial 16S ribosomal RNA". It matches the Rfam family "Bacterial small subunit ribosomal RNA", at positions 339 to 795 of the family's 1533-position model. The record is from RNAcentral.